CCCAGCACCGAAGCCUGUGGCCAUUUGGUUACUAGGCAAUGUGGUGUUCAGGUCGUUCCGCGGAGGUUCUGCUCCACCCUAAGUCCAUCAAUGAGUACGGUAUUAUGGACAUGGCCCACAGAGGGUGAAAGGCCCGUGGGGGUGGAGAUUCGGUAGGCCAGAACUUCCCUGGGUAGACCUUGGAGUCGGGUUGUUUGUGAAUGCAGCCCAAAGUGGGUGGUAAACUCCAUCCAAGGCUAAAUACUUGCACGAGUCCGAUAGCGAACAAGUACCGUGAGGGAAAGUUGAAAAGUACUUUGAAGAGAGAGUAAACAGUGCGUGAAACCGCUCAGAGGUAAACGGGUGGAGUUGAACUGCAAGCUCUGGGAAUUCAACUGGUGAGUGUGGUUUGAGCUUGGUCAUAUUGGUGGACGUCGGGGUCUGCGUAGCAGCAGGUCUUCGCCUUCGGGUGGGCAUGCGCGAUGCACUUAUCAAGUGUUGUGCGCCUCGGUUGUUCCCGGCCAACUCGCUAGUGCACUUUCUCGGAGUGGUCACCACGACCGGCGCCACUGUCUGGCCACUGUGGUUAAACCGGCUUUGCAUAGUCCCUGUGGCUUUGUUUUAGUCGGGAUGGCAGGUAGCUCGUUGACUCGCUUGUGGUCUCGCUGCAAGUGUGGUUUUCCAGUCUAAUCCGCUGACCGUAGUGGUUCUGUGAAGUGUGCCGGGGACGGCGGCUCGAGGUGUGUGCAUGCGUUGCUGUUUUGCUGACUGGUCCGAGUUUGGUUAUUUUGUAGCCUGUUCAAUCAGGUCUGGUAGUAGCUCGGAUUUGUUCGGCUGGCGGUGGCGUGUGUGGCAUUGUUCCAAGGGCCAACAGUCUGUGGUGUAGUGGU
RNAcentral lists this ribosomal RNA (869 nucleotides) under Haematoloechus nicolasi. RNAcentral's name for it is "partial 28S large subunit ribosomal RNA". It matches the Rfam family "Eukaryotic large subunit ribosomal RNA", at positions 108 to 629 of the family's 3401-position model. Lineage: Eukaryota; Metazoa; Platyhelminthes; Trematoda; Plagiorchiida; Haematoloechidae. The record is from RNAcentral.